CCCAUAUCACGAUAUCAGUGCCCAUAUCACAACAUUUGGGGCCCAUAUCACGAUAUCAGUGCCCAUAUCGCAACAUUUGGUGCCCAUAUCGCGAUAUCAGUGCCCAUAUCACAACAUACGGGUCCCAUAUCACGACAUUUGGGGCCCAUAUCGCAAUACCACCGACACUAUCGCGACGUGGGGCGCCCAUAUCGCGACAUUCA
This 203-nucleotide long non-coding RNA is filed under the name Gallus gallus (chicken). The record is from RNAcentral. Lineage: Eukaryota; Metazoa; Chordata; Aves; Galliformes; Phasianidae.